RNAcentral lists this ribosomal RNA (406 nucleotides) under uncultured bacterium. RNAcentral's name for it is "partial 16S ribosomal RNA". It matches the Rfam family "Bacterial small subunit ribosomal RNA", at positions 30 to 526 of the family's 1533-position model. The record is from RNAcentral.
AUUGAACGCUGGCGGCAGGCCUAACACAUGCAAGUCGAACGAGUGGCGGACGGGUGAGUAAUGUCUGGGAAACUGCCUGAUGGAGAGGGAUAACUACUGGAAACGGUAGCUAAUUCCGCAUACCAUCAGAUGUGCCCAGAUGUGAUUAGCUUGUUGGCGGGGUAACGGCUCACCAAGGCGAAGAUCCCUACCUGGUUUGAGAGGAUGACCGGCCACACUGGAACGGAGACACGGUCCAGACUCCUACGGGAGGCAGCAGUGGGGAAUAUUGGACAAGGGGCGCAAGCCUGAUGCAGCCAUGCCGCGUGUAUGAAGAAGGCCUUCGGGUUGUAAAGUACUUUCAGUGGGGAGGCGUUACCCGCAGAAGAAGCACCGGCUAACUCCGUGCCAGCAGCCGCGGUAAUAC